UUAAGACACACUGUGAAUCUAUCCUUUAACCGAGAUGUUUCUUUACCUUCAAACCUGCAAAUUAUGUUUACUGAGUUGGGAAACACGAUGCUUAUUGCAGGGAUCUUGUUUACAUACCAUCCAAAGUUCUUCCUACCAGUUUAAUUUUUAAGAUUCCUCUGUUCGUGCGCCUCACGCCUCAUCGGCAUAACUUUUUGAUUGCGGAAACAUUUGAUCAGCGUCUGUCUGGGCGACUGAAUGAGUUGCUGAGAGAGGAGAUCGCUUUGCUAUUGUGCUCCUGAAACACAGCUCCGCUCCACAUUAAUAUUUGAUCCAUCCAAGGUGGUUUCACUUCUCCUCUCCAAUCUGAGAGCAUUUACAAGAGGCAGGGAGUACAGGAGGUCUGAGUGGAGCAAUCUGUGUGCUCAUGUGUACACACAGAGGGAAUUCACAACAGCCGCCCCCACCAAAGCUCAGCUGCUGUGAUGGGAAAGAUAUCCUGGUGGUGCUGUCCUGGUCAUGGUGGUAAAUCCGGUGAGGUGGUUUGGACAUCUGGUUAGCCGGGGCAGCCCCAGAACAUGCUGGAGGGACUAUAUAUCUCUCCUGGCCUGAAAACGCCUUGGCAUCCCCCAGGAGGAGCUGGAGGGCGUUGCCAUGGAGAGGAAUGUCUGGGUUUCCUUAUUCAGUCUUGUGGAACUGUGACCUGGUCCCAGAUAAGCGAUAAAUGAUUGGAAUUUUUGUGAAAUGUUAUAUACCGUAUUUGGACCAUGGGAACUACAUCUGUGAACUGCACUUAUCAUGUGUACUUUCUCUAUUUGCUGUCAUGAUCAGCUCUGAAGUUAAAUACUUGCAUUGAACCUAAAUAUGCACAGCUUUCCUUUUUUUAAAAAAAUUUAAUGUUCCAACUUAUCAAAAAGUUUCAGUACAGUUUACAGCAGAAUCAGCAAAUGUUUCUACUAAUAGAGACA
Thunnus maccoyii (southern bluefin tuna) is the source of this 947-nucleotide long non-coding RNA. RefSeq lists it as uncharacterized. Lineage: Eukaryota; Metazoa; Chordata; Actinopteri; Scombriformes; Scombridae. The record is from RefSeq and is a predicted model, not a curated record. The transcript is spliced from 3 exons.